ACACUGCUGACGAGUCCCAUACUAGGACGAAACGGCCGUCCAGUGU
This 46-nucleotide non-coding RNA is filed under the name Schistosoma mattheei. The record is from RNAcentral. Lineage: Eukaryota; Metazoa; Platyhelminthes; Trematoda; Strigeidida; Schistosomatidae.